This 205-nucleotide ribosomal RNA is filed under the name uncultured bacterium. Its description in RNAcentral is "partial 16S ribosomal RNA". It matches the Rfam family "Bacterial small subunit ribosomal RNA", at positions 1082 to 1287 of the family's 1533-position model. The record is from RNAcentral.
AAGUCCCACAACGAGCGCAACCCCUACUGCCAGUUGCUAACGGGUAAAGCCGGGCACUCUAGCGGGACUGCCGGUGUCAACCGGGAGGAAGGUGGGGAUGACGUCAAAUCAUCAUGGCCCUUACGUCCAGGGCUACACACGUGUUACAAUGGCCGGUACAAAGGGAAGCGACCCCGCGAGGGGGAGCGAAUCCCAAAAACCGGUU